Molecule: ribosomal RNA, 495 nt
Filed under: uncultured bacterium
Lineage: Bacteria
Description: partial 16S ribosomal RNA
Rfam family: Bacterial small subunit ribosomal RNA
Source: RNAcentral
GACGAACGCUGGCGGCGUGCCUAAUACAUGCAAGUAGAACGCUGAAGGAGGAGCUUGCUCUUCUGGAUGAUUUGCGAACGGGUGAGUAACGCGUAUGUAACCUGCCUGUUAGCGGGGGAUAACUAUUGGAAACGCUAGCUCAUACCGCAUAAUAUUAGAUGUUGCAUGUUAUUUACUUAAAAGGUGCAAUUGCACCACUACUAGAUGGACCUUCGUUGUAUUAUCUAGUUGGUGGUGUAACGGCUCACCAAGGCGACGAUACAUAGCCGACCUGGGAGGGUGAACGGCCAAACUGGGACUGAGACAAGGGCCAGAAUCCUUAGGGAAGCAGCAGGAGGGAAUCUUCGGGAAUGGACGGAAGGCUGACCGAGCAACGCCGCGGGAGGGAAGAAGGUUUUCGGAUCGUAAAGAUCUGUUGUAAGAGAAGAAAGAGAGUGAGAGUGGAAAGUGCACACUGUGACGGUAUCUUACCAGAAAGGGACGGCUAACUACGUG